GGGUGUAGCUCAGUGGUAGAACAUGUGCUUAGAAUGCACAAGGCCCUGGCUGGGUUUGAUCCCCAGCAUCAACA
This 74-nucleotide transfer RNA is filed under the name Heterocephalus glaber (naked mole-rat). It matches the Rfam family "tRNA". From Rfam's summary of the family: Transfer RNA (tRNA) molecules are approximately 80 nucleotides in length. Their secondary structure includes four short double-helical elements and three loops (D, anti-codon, and T loops). Lineage: Eukaryota; Metazoa; Chordata; Mammalia; Rodentia; Bathyergidae. The record is from Rfam by way of RNAcentral.